CCUACGGGAGGCAGCAGUGGGGAAUUUUGGACAAUGGGCGCAAGCCUGAUCCAGCAAUGCCGCGUGCAGGAUGAAGGCCUUCGGGUUGUAAACUGCUUUUGUACGGAACGAAACGGCUCUUUCUAAUAAAGAGAGCUAAUGACGGUACCGUAAGAAUAAGCACCGGCUAACUACGUGCCAGCAGCCGCGGUAAUACGUAGGGUGCGAGCGUUAAUCGGAAUUACUGGGCGUAAAGCGUGCGCAGGCGGUUAUAUAAGACAGAUGUGAAAUCCCCGGGCUCAACCUGGGACCUGCAUUUGUGACUGUAUAGCUAGAGUACGGUAGAGGGGGAUGGAAUUCCGCGUGUAGCAGUGAAAUGCGUAGAUAUGCGGAGGAACACCGAUGGCGAAGGCAAUCCCCUGGACCUGUACUGACGCUCAUGCACGAAAGCGUGGGGAGCAAACAGGAUUAGAUACCCUGGUAGUCCACGCCCUAAACGAUGUCAACUGGUUGUUGGGUCUUCACUGACUCAGUAACGAAGCUAACGCGNGAGUAGACGCGNGGNGGUACGGCGCGAGUAGAACGACGAAAGAAGUAGAGCGUGAGACGNGCGACGACGACGACGAGGGAGGAGG
This 614-nucleotide ribosomal RNA is filed under the name uncultured bacterium. RNAcentral describes it as "bacterial SSU rRNA". The stretch from base 1 to 540 matches the Rfam family "Bacterial small subunit ribosomal RNA", at positions 338 to 873 of the family's 1533-position model. The record is from RNAcentral.